Molecule: ribosomal RNA, 1445 nt
Filed under: uncultured organism
Description: partial small subunit ribosomal RNA
Rfam family: Bacterial small subunit ribosomal RNA
Source: RNAcentral
CGAACGCUGGCGGCGUGCUUAACACAUGCAAGUCGAACGGAAAGGCCCUGCUUUUGUGGGGUGCUCGAGUGGCGAACGGGUGAGUAACACGUGAGUAACCUGCCCUUGACUUUGGGAUAACUUCAAGAAACUGGGGCUAAUACCGGAUAGGAGCUCCUGCUGCAUGGUGAGGGUUGGAAAGUUUCGGCGGUUGGGGAUGGACUCGCGGCUUAUCAGCUUGUUGGUGGGGUAGUGGCUUACCAAGGCUUUGACGGGUAGCCGGCCUGAGAGGGUGACCGGCCACAUUGGGACUGAGAUACGGCCCAGACUCCUACGGGAGGCAGCAGUGGGGAAUAUUGCACAAUGGGCGGAAGCCUGAUGCAGCAACGCCGCGUGCGGGAUGACGGCCUUCGGGUUGUAAACCGCUUUCGCCUGUGACGAAGCGUGAGUGACGGUAAUGGGUAAAGAAGCACCGGCUAACUACGUGCCAGCAGCCGCGGUGAUACGUAGGGUGCGAGCGUUGUCCGGAUUUAUUGGGCGUAAAGGGCUCGUAGGUGGUUGAUCGCGUCGGAAGUGUAAUCUUGGGGCUUAACCCUGAGCGUGCUUUCGAUACGGGUUGACUUGAGGAAGGUAGGGGAGAAUGGAAUUCCUGGUGGAGCGGUGGAAUGCGCAGAUAUCAGGAGGAACACCAGUGGCGAAGGCGGUUCUCUGGGCCUUUCCUGACGCUGAGGAGCGAAAGCGUGGGGAGCGAACAGGCUUAGAUACCCUGGUAGUCCACGCUGUAAACGGUGGGUACUAGGUGUGGGGUCCAUUCCACGGGUUCCGUGCCGUAGCUAACGCUUUAAGUACCCCGCCUGGGGAGUACGGCCGCAAGGCUAAAACUCAAAGGAAUUGACGGGGCCCCGCACAAGCGGCGGAGCAUGCGGAUUAAUUCGAUGCAACGCGUAGAACCUUACCUGGGUUUGACAUGGAUCGGGAGUGCUCAGAGAUGGGUGUGCCUCUUUUGGGGUCGGUUCACAGGUGGUGCAUGGCUGUCGUCAGCUCGUGUCGUGAGAUGUUGGGUUAAGUCCCGCAACGAGCGCAACCCUUGUUCACUGUUGCCAGCACGUUAUGGUGGGGACUCAGUGGAGACCGCCGGGGUCAACUCGGAGGAAGGUGGGGAUGACGUCAAGUCAUCAUGCCCCUUAUGUCCAGGGCUUCACGCAUGCUACAAUGGCUGGUACAGAGAGUGGCGAGCCUGUGAGGGUGAGCGAAUCUCGGAAAGCCGGUCUCAGUUCGGAUUGGGGUCUGCAACUCGACCUCAUGAAGUCGGAGUCGCUAGUAAUCGCAGAUCAGCAACGCUGCGGUGAAUACGUUCCCGGGGCUUGUACACACCGCCCGUCAAGUCAUGAAAGUUGGUAACACCCGAAGCCGGUGGCCUAACCGUUGUGGGGGAGCCGUCGAAGGUGGGACUGGUGAUUAGGACU